Long non-coding RNA from Corticium candelabrum, 1069 nucleotides. RefSeq lists it as uncharacterized. The transcript has 6 exons. The record is from RefSeq and is a predicted model, not a curated record. NCBI's taxonomy places the organism in Eukaryota, Metazoa, Porifera, Homoscleromorpha, Homosclerophorida, Plakinidae.
AAGGAACGUGACAUUGUUGUUUGCGUUCGACUACUGCGCACCUUGCGACGUCACACCAUUGACGUUGCUGAAGCGGUAGCUGCGUCGUAAUUUUCGAACUCGGGGGCCAUCAAAGCACAUGCGCACAAAGUAGCUAUAGCAGUUCAUAAUUCAGCAGAAAUCUGCGUCAGUGCACUUGCAUCGCAAAAGGAGCUGUUCCAACUUUCAGCUGUUCAACCAGAGACCUCUUCAAACUGGUGUACACGGCUUGCUCUGAAGAUGAGUACAGAAGGCACUUUGUGAGCAGCAUACAAGUUACCCUGUCAUUUCCUGUUACCCUGGACUUAUCACUCCACAGCCAACGCCACAUGCUUUGGAGGAAAUGGAACACACAAAAAAGAUGCAGUUGGAAUGGACAGACAGGGUUGAGGCGAUCGAAUGGCUACGAAAGGAGACGAUUGUUAUUUCUAUUAUAAUACUGAAUGUCUGAAGGGUGACCAAUGCCCUUUCCGUCACGGUCAAGCUGCACUCGGUAACAACACUGUCUGUACGUUGUGGCUACAAGGAUCGUACUUUCAAUCAGCAUGUUCGUUCAGACAUAUGCAUAUCACUGUGAAUGGUGACACUUUCGUCUAUUUCUCACAUUCUUGUGAGAAUGUUGAAUGUUUAGCCGUUGAAGAGUGAGUUGUUGUGUUGCUUUGAGCUUCAACCGAGUGGCUGCCUCAAGCCCAACUGUCCUUUCAAGCAUUUCAAGCCGGAAAUGUGAGCACACUGGGAACGAGCUCGAUGCCGGUGAUGUCAACGAUACAGCCAGUUGUUGCUGUCAGACCGUCUGUUCGUGCUUCUACCAACUUGGUUCAAGCACAGGACACGGAGACGCCAAAUUUCCGUGAGAAUCACUCUUGUGUGUUGCUUGGCUAAAUAUCAGUAAGGAGAACUCGUCUCUUGUGUCAAUUGAAGUUGUAAAGGAAGGGAUGACAUCUCUAUCAGCCCAGUCAGACAACAAAGGAACAUUGAUAACAAAGUGUCACCACGAGGUUCUUUUUCUCAUAUCUUCUUCUUCUACCAUUCUAUCAAGCUGGUUGUUCAA